GAUGAAGUAUUGUUAAAAAGGAGGAGAUUAAAAUUACAUACAACAGUACUGCAGAAUAUCAAACACAAGGCAAAGUUUAAAGAGAAUGUGAACAAAGAAAAGGCCAAUGACUGGAAAUCAUUAGUUCAACUUCAAGAGACUGAUUUCAGGAAAAAAAAAAAAAAGGGUGUCAGAUUCCAAAAACUUAAGACUCAGUAUUAGUGUUUUCUUAAAACGAGAAAUGGGAAAGGAGUAGGGACAAAUCAUGUAUUCAACUCUAAAAAUGGAAUGACUAAAAAUUUCAGAAAACUUUCGUGCUAUUCUUUCUAAAACUAUUUUGUAACUUUGCAACCUGCAGAAGUGAUAUGUGCAACUAAUUCAAGUACUCAUUAUCUAAGUCUCACCUUACAAAAGUCAUCAUAAGAAUUUACUGGUGUUUAAACAAAAGAACUGAAAACAAAUUUCACAUAAUACCCCAAUGGCCAUUAGAUGGUAAAAUGGACUCAACAUUGUUAUGAGAAACAAAUUUUUUUUAAAGAAAACAGUGAAAUAUCACUCCACAUUACACAUAAAUCCCGAUGACCCAGCAAUUCCAUCCCUAGGUAUAUAUAACUAACAGAAACAAGUGCUAGCGCCACCAAAAGGCACAUACAUGUUCACAACAACUUUAUCUGUAAUAGUCCCAAAUUGGAAAUAACCCAAAUAUCCAUCAACAGUGGACUGGGUCAAUAAACCAUAGUAACAAAUUCAUAAAACAGAAUACUUUACAGCAACGACAAAGAGCUAACACAUGAAAAACAUGGAUAAGUCACACAGAUAAAAUAUUGAAGAAGUCAGAUACAAGAGAUUACACAUUUAUCAUUCCUUCUCAGAAAAAGGCAAAACUAACCUACGUCACCAGAGGCAAGAAGGGUUAACUAAGUGGGGACAAGACAGUCUUCUGGGGAGAAAGAAAUAUUCUACAUCUUGAUGUGGGUGAUGAUGACAUAGAUGUACACAUAUGUAAAUGUUCAAUAAGUUAUAUACCUGAGAUUUAUAAAAUAAUCUUUAAAAAAAUUUGUUUGUGAACUGAUCACUUACAAAAUUAGUUCCCAUUCACUAACAUUUCCCUCACCAUAAUGGCUUACAAGCCACCAGUGAAAGUACAAAGUUUGCAAGAUACUCUAAAAUUUUACAAAGUUUAUUAAAAUAACGGCCAACAAUGUAGGGUAAGGGAUUUAAUUUUACCCUACCAUUCCCCACCCCCAAGCAAGUAAGUUAGUCUGUUAACUGUUUCACGGAUGCUGACGAAGGACAUGGGACUCCAGAUUCAGAGACAAAUGACUUUAACACUCAUGGACAGACAGCAAGCAGCAUAAGCAUCAGAUUUGCAGUUCCCUUCGCCUCCAAGAGACCCGCAGAAGUGAUGUGAUAUUGCCAAGAUGGAUGGUACUUCUGCAGUGGGUUUACACUGAUAGAGAACAAUGAGCUGAAAGAAUUCACCAUGUUUACACUUACAGUAAGCAAGCCUAUCUUAGUGGAGAGAGAACAGCUUCACUGACAAAGGAUUAAGAGUGAUCCUUAGUAAAAUCAGUAUGUAUUUUUUAUGGAUAUUUUCACAAAAAACACAAAAAAGCUCUUCAUGUUAGUAGCACGCAUGACAAACAUAAGGGAUGCCCUAUCAUGCUAAAUUAUCUUGUGAGAAAAAUUAAGCCUAUCCAUCAAACUUGAUCCUUUCUUUGUUCAUCAUAAGAAUACAUGUUUACAACUGUAACUUAAUGUUUUUCCCAAGUUUUAAUUUUUGAAGAUGAAGUACCAAUCAGACCUUUUAUUCAAUUUAGUAUAAAAUACAGAUAGAAUUUUAAAUGGUUUCAUUUUAAAUGGGUUUCUUUAGAGCCAAUUAUCGUUAGUUCAGGAAGACCUAAAUGUAGCAUGAGCUUUUCUUAAUGACUUAGUUAUCCUUACGAAGCUCUCCGUUGCUGUGCUGUGCUGGAAAUUCUCUGUACAAAGCAUGGAACAUGGGCUGCAAUGUUAAUGACUGAAGAGACAACAGGGCAUGAAUGAUCUUAAGAAGUUACCUAAAGAGGUAGACUUUUGUGGGACAUUCGGCUUUCUUAAAAAGAAUAUAGCUAUUUCAAGGAAUCCAACAGCUUCCUUUCUACAAAAUCAAUUGCUAAAGCAAAAACAUUAAUAUUCCUUUGAUGAUGAUGAUGAUAAUAAUAAAAAACCACUAGCAUUUAUCGAACACUAUGUUAACACUGUUAAGGACCUUACUCUGAGAGACAAAAAAAUCAUUAAAAUCUCGCAACAGCCAUAUCAGGUAAAUUCCACUAUUCUCAUUUUACAGAUGAGAGAACAAGGAAAGAGAAAUUAAAAGUAACUUGCUUAUUUAUAUAGAUUAGAAAUAGAGCCAAGAAUUGAAACUUGGCAGGCUGGCUCCAGAACUCACACUCCUAAACACUGUACACACGGUACCCUAAAAAGAAAAGUCUCCCACCAAAGAAUAUUCUUUGCUUAAAGACCUUCUCUACUGUUCUCCCUAUCUCUGACUUCUCCAAAAUACUCAAAGUGUUGUUAUCACAACAUUAUAUAGUUUCAGAGACCAAGGAUAAUCCUGUUCAAUAUGCUCACUUUCAAAGUGAUUCUUUAUACCACUUAACAUACUUCAUUAACCUCUUUAUCUACUUCAACCCAUUCUUCUCUCAAUUGAACAAAAUGAGUCAAUAUGUAUGAAAGACUAGUGUUUAUUACUAUUAUAAUAAAAUUAUAAAAAUAAAAUUUAUAUAUUAUUAAAAUUUAAUUAAAAAUUUAUAUUCAUUAUGGUAGCCUUACUCCAAAGCCUUUUUAUCUCAUUAGGACAUUUUUGCCACACUAACCACUAGAACACAUAAUUUUAACAGCCUAAAUCUCACUCAUUCACUUCAUUAAUAUUUAACAUUUAGGUUUCUAAAUAAAAUUGUUUUACUGGGAUCAAAAUUGCUGUACUGUACCCGUAUGAUAAAUUUUCUCCUGUAAACUAUUCUGUAAAAUCUAUCAGAUUCGAGACAAUACCUUGAUCCUCACAAAUAAAACUAUCACAGUGCUUUGGAUACAGCAAUAGAUUUAUUUUACUAUCUUAAGUCCCUGGUUAUGAAAAGAAUUUCUCACUACAUACACAAAAAACAAAAUAAAUUUUUUUUCAACGUUUAUUUAUUUUUUUGGGGACAGAGAGAGACAGAGCAUGAACGGGGGAGGGGCAGAGAGAGAGAGGGAGACACAGAAUCAGAAACAGGCUCCAGGCUCUGAGCCAUCAGCCCAGAGCCUGACGUGGGGCUCGAACUCACGGACCGCGAGAUCGUGACCUGGCUGAAGUCGGACGCUUAACCGACUGCGCCACGCAGGUGCCCCGCAAAAAACAAAAUAAGAUAUUAUACUUUUUUCUAGUAUGCAUAUAUUAGCAUCUGUAAUAUGAACCCCAAGUAAACAUUCAAUCCUUUGAAAAUCAGGGUAUGACUAGGUUUUCUAGUAAUCAAAAUGUAGAAUUUUGAAUCUAUUCAUGAAAAGUUGGUUCAAUUUUUCACACCUCUUUUGCUUUUCACUAAGUAAAAUGAAUUCACAAACACUGAGAACACCAAUUUUCAGCUCAGUCAGCUGUGUGCAUAACCAUCCAUAAUACCUUCCUAUAGUAUCUCUAAACUUAUCCUAGUAAUAGAGGAAAGUCCCCAAAGCUAUACUGAAUAACUUCAGUCUUCAGAGGUUACAUAUUGCUGGGCAAUUAAUCUGGUUCUCUGUGCUCCCAUUCCACAAUGCCUUCAGAGUCUACUGAGGCACAAACAGACAUAACCAGUGCUAAUCUUGAUCUCAGAGUCACGGUCUUAUUUAUACAACACACAUUCACUGAGAGCACCUAAAAAGGGCAAACCACUAAGCAAGAAACUAAAAGGCUAAAAAAGAUAAAUCAAGUCCAGACUAAAACUUUAAAGAAUUACAAAUCGAUAAGCUAUGAAAAUAUGCCCAUACCUCUCUGCAAUACACAAUGGAGAAUGGCAGAUGCCCUAAGGGUGUAGAAGGUGCUACAAUAAAUUAAGGGGAUGGCCCUUUGGGGACAGGGGAAGGGAGACAAGAACCACCAAGUAGCUUUAUCAGAGGCAUAAAAAUAAUUGUGAGUAAAGACACAAAAUCUGAGUUUUCAUCCACCAGGAUGAGAAAAUGAUUCAGUUUGCUAGAACUGAGGUGGUAGAACUAAAGAACUGGCUAGAAAUGUACAAUAAAAUAAGGCUAAUCUACACACGGAUAACAAUAUACGCAUUGUAACACAUAAAAACACCAGAUCUAAAAAGUCUAAUAAACUUGGGUUCAAAUUCUGGAUUUAACAUUUACACCUAAACCUCUAUUUUUUCCUAUUUUGUAUAAUAAAUAUCAGUUCUGAGAAUUAAAUGAGAUACCCACUUAACUCAGUGCCUGGCAUGGCACAUUCUCAGUAAAGGAGAACUGCAGUUACCACUGUUGCAAUUAUCAUGAACAUUUCUGAGAUCAGGCUGAGGAUUUCAAAAUAUAUAGCUGAGCUACUUUAUUUCAAUGAAUAUACAAAGCCAUCUACUUAAGAUGUACCAUUGUUUUAUUAACCUUGAAGGAAGAACAGGUUGCAAAUUAAACUAUCACACAGUGCUUUCUUAUCACUUAAUUUUUUUCUUCACAGUAUCAAUCUCUGCCCUCAGACUGCAGGUCUGAAAAGUGUUCCCGUAUUACCCCAGUAUUGUCAUUCAAGCUAUGGACAUCCCUCCUGCAAGUUCUGAUACUUGCCUGAUCUUCCCAAAGGGUGUAAAUGAAAGAAAUGACAGCAACAUAAACAGAAAGGCAGAGUUUAUGCACCUGCAAGGACAACUGCAACACAAAUGUCACCUAGCUAAAACCAAUACUCAAAUGCCAUUGAUUAUAAGACACCUCCCAAUUUCAGAGAUGUUACAAGGUGAAAAAAAUGUAAGUACACCUUAUAAGAAAUAAGGAAAUAAUGCAGCUUUUUCUUUUUUCCUCCCCCAAAGUCCCUUCUCCUGCUACCCACCCCCCCCAUCACUUCCCACCAGUAUUUUGCUGUUCUCCUUUCUUUUGUUCUCAUCCCUUUGACUCUUCUUUCCUGCCUACUCUUUAUUCAUUCCUCAUAACGUCUCUCUCCCACAUUCCUCGUUGCUUACCUCUGUGCUCUCCUCUAAGUAAAAAGGAAAAUGCAUUUCACAGCCCAGAUAUAUGAGACAGUGUUCUACACGAAAACCUGGCUUCUAAGCAGAUUCUAUUUGUGCCUCUGCCAUCUUCAUCCUGGGCCAGUGAUCACAUUAAAGCUAUCCUAAUGUACACCAGUGGGAAUAAUACAUAUUUGCUACUAUUUUUUAAAGGUGAUAUAAUUAAUUCCUAGGAAAACAAGGAGACUUCAAGGAACUGAAAUCAUGGAAUUAUUUUCUUUUGCAAUCAACAUUCAUAAGAAGCUAUUUCAAAUUUGUAACAUUUAAUGUUUAACAUCUUUUACAUUUUAACCUUUAUUUAUAAAUAUCAAAGCCUUAUUUCAAUAGCCUAAUCAGGGAGAGAAGACAAAUUCUGUUUUCUCUUUUUUGCUCUGAGGUUGUACUAUACCAAACUUUUACAAUUUUAAGUGUCAAAAUGAGCCUUUUCCUUAGAAGUCAAGUCUUAUGACAGUAAUGCAUAGUGGGCUAACCAAGUAAAACAAACCAAAAAAUACAAAUUAAACUGAACAGUACCCAAAAUAUUCCUUUCAGGGAUUUUCUAUUUCUAGCUUUAAAGCCAGAGAAUGUCCCCAAAUCUAAAAUCCUGUUAGGAAAUACCUGUGACAACCUGUGUAAGUUGAGACAGUUAAUUCCCAUCAAUAUUGCAAUUUGAGUAAAUGUAACUAAAUCUGGUGAUCAAACACUGUGAAACUUAGAUCUAUUUAGGGGGAUCAUAAAUAAAACAGAAAGAAAGAGGAAUUAUUCCAACAUAACUGGAAAACAGGAGAGAAAGAAGGUAAAAAGAUAUAUUUGUAAAUACGAAUGAAGAAAAAAUUAACUAGGCUGCAAAUGGCUAGUGACAAAAAGUGGAAGGCUUCGCCAGUAUAUAAAACAUCUUAGCUCUGCCUAGCUCUGGGUCCUUCCCCCACCACAUACAUUGCAGGGAAGUGGAUAAAAGUCUUAAGGAUGAGGCGAGGAUAACAGCACAUCAUUUCUGCACAUAUUUUGGGAAUGCUUAUCACAAGCUCAAAAGAGGAAGAUGACAAUCUAUAAACCACAAUACAGUUGUUAAUAAAGAACAAGAAUAAGAAAAACCAAGUAUUAUUAAGCCAAAUGAGGCAAGAAGAGGACAAUUAGUUUGUGAAGCAAAAGGGGAAGGCCCCAGAAUGAAUGCCAAACAGGGAAAGAAUGAAUACAGGGCUACAGCCCGGCUGCUAGAAGGAACCCUAUGUGCAGUGUAGAGUUCUAAGCAGAAAGACAAGUCCAAAGAGGAAUUUCGAGAAGUGACAAAUGGCAACAGCACAUGACUAAGUAAGAGACUUAAUUCAGGAGGCAGAGGGUAGAUGGAAUAUAUGGUAGAAAUCCAACUAUGACAGGAGGACACUCCAGCACAGUGGUACACAGACCAGGACAGGGAUGGCAGUAGAGACAAAAAUGAAGUGAUGUGAUGGGCAUUACAAAUAAAACAUCAACAGGAUUUGGUAACUACCCAGAAGAGACCAAGGGCAAACAAGAAAGGUAACGGUUUAAAAGCUGAAAAAUAAAGACAUCACUUACCUACAAAGGACAAUUCUAGGUCUAGCCAAGAGGAGGCCGUGGAGGGCUGGGAGGAAGUAAGCACAGAUGCACGUCCCGGCAAUAGUGAAACUAAAGCUCAAGAGAAGAGGGAUGUGUAGAUUUGGAGGACCAUAGCAACAGAAGGGAGAGCUGACUCUGAGAGGGCAGGUUUCCUUUACUCAAAACCGGCUGAGUAUCUAAUAAGCCAAAAAGUCAGGCUGAAAAGACACUAUCUGUAGUAUCAAAGAUCUUAAAAAGUAAUGGAAAGAAGAGAAGGUGUUGUGAACAGCUUCAUAUGGUUAGUACACCGCUUCAUUUUCUUCUAGAUUUACUUUCGUAUGAUAACCAAGAAAGAUGAGCCAUUAAAGUAAAAUUAAAAAUAUGUACAGCAAGCAGAGAAGGCCAGUAACUGAGCAGGCAGGAAUGUGUGCUACUUCUUAUAUCAGAACUUGGUGGGACUUGAGAAAAUAACUAUGACCUAUUACCUGCCAUACCUUGGAAGUUUAUAGUCUACCUCUGUUUAUGAAGACCUGACUGGAUGACUUUUUCAUUACAGGGUUUUUUUUUUUGUUUUGUUUUGUUUUUAUUUCUUAGAGAAAUGACUCCUCCCCAGAGCUAAAGAACAAAAACAAAAACAAACAGGUAACAGUAAGAUUGAGAAAUCCUUGUGUGUUAAGUUCCCUGAAAUUCUUCUGCAAACUUUCAAUUAAUAAUGCAGAGUACCUUGGAAAUACAAAGAAAAAGCAGUGGUACCUCAGAGAUAUAUUGAGAACAUUAUACACAUUAUAAAAUUAAGAAAUAUCAUGCAUUACAGAAGAAUCUAGCAUAUUACAAAACACACACACACACACACAUUAAUUCUAUUUCAGCUCAAGCAUCCCUUCUUCAGGAAGCCUUCCCAGAUGGUGAUGCACAGACAAACCCCCCCCUCUUAAACACUCUUACUGCAUCACAUAACUCUACUCUGUAGCACUUAACACACUAUAUUUUUACAUUUAUCUGUCCAACUCCGUAAGAGUACAAAUUCUGCAUGAAUGUAUAUUAGAGGAACCAUACCUAUUUUCACUCAUCACUGUAAGCCUGGUGAUACACACGCUCAAGAAAUAUUUGUUUAAUAAAUGAAAGAGAAUGAGCACAAAAAGCUUUUGAAAGGGCCUUAGCUGAAGGGGUAGGGUACUUCUCACUUUCUGCUUCAUACAAUUCUUUACUUCUUAAAACAAACAUACUUCCAAUAUAGUCAGGGGAAAAAACAAAUUUUAAAACCAAAGUGCAACUAUACCUCAGCCAUAUUAAAAUCCUUACUAAAGAGAGGACUUGUAUGUCAAGAGACAUUCAUAUUUCAAAAAAAUUAUCGGGGCGCCUGGGUGGCGCAGUCGGUUAAGCGUCCGGCUUCAGCCAGGUCACGAUCUCGCGGUCCGUGAGUUCGAGCCCCGCGUCGGGCUCUGGGCUGAUGGCUCAGAGCCUGGAGCCUGUUUCCGAUUCUGUGUCUCCCUCUCUCUCUGCCCCUCCCCCGUUCAUGCUGUGUCUCUCUCUGUCCCAAAAAUAAAUAAACGUUGAAAAAAAAAAUUUAAAAAAAAAAAAAAAAAAAAAAAAUUAUCUCCAACAGAUCUAUCUAGGACUAUUCAAAUUUGGAAGCUGAAAUUUAAGAAAAACCAAUGAGAAACUAGGGGCAAACACUUUCUGCUCUCAAAAAAUAUUAGUAAGAAUUCAUCUUUCAAAGGAAUUUAUCUUCCUAUACUGGAAUGUCUUUUGUACCUCCGAGAUUUUACAAAGGCCAUUCUCUGCCCAAACCAUUCUCCUCAAGCCCCAAUCACUAAUUUCCAAGCUCUCUUGGCAUUCAGACUUCAGCUUCAGUGUCAUCCCAGAGACCUUCCCUGAUCACCUCAUAAUCCUAUAUAAAGUAGGUUUUCCCCAAUCCCUCAUCUAAUACCAUGUUCAUUUCCUUCAGUGUAUAAAUCAAUUUGUAAGUGUUUGCUGACUUACAUGAUUUUUAUCUCUCUCACCAGAGAAUAAUCUUUAAGAAACAAUACUAAGCAUAUUCAGAGCACCUUUGAAAUUUAUUCAAGUAAUUCAUUCAGAAGGAUAUUUUCUGAGGUAGCAUUCCAGGAGCUGGGAAUAUACACAUGAAUAAAGAGACCCAAAACACUUGUCCUCGGUAGAUUACACUCCAGAGGAGGGAGACAGACAAAGGCAAUAAAUAAGCAAUAGUGUAGUUUGUUUGGGGAAAAGUGCUAGGGAGAAAAAUAGAGCAGAGGAAGGUGAAUGGGAAGUGUGGUGGGAGAGGUGUGAUUUUAAAUAGGGCAGCUGAGGUGGGCCUCACUUAAGCAGACACCAAGGGAAUCAAAACAUGAAGGAAACAGGAGCAAGACAGGCAGACAUCUGGGGGAAAUCACGGCAGGCAAAUGCAACAGGCAAUGCAAAGAUCUCAAGGUGGGAGCACGUCCAGCACAUUCUGAGAACUGCCAAGACCAAGGUAGCAUGAGAAUAAAGUGAACAAGGAAGGGAAAAUAAUGAAUGGGGUUCAGUAGGUAAGAGACCCAGAUUGGACAUCCUGCAUAUAAGGGCAAUGGCUUUUACUGUAACUCAAAUGAGGACCCAUUUGAGAGCUCUGAGUGGAGACAGGACAUUUUCUGACAAACAUUAAAGAACUAACUACUCUGGCUGUGUUGAGAAUAAACAGCAAGGGUAAAAGUGGGAGACCAGUUCAGAGUUGCAGUAAGCUAGGUGAGAGAUGAUAAUGGCCUAGAUCAGAGUGAUGGCAGUUCAGUGGGGAGUAGACAACUUCACAUGCAUUUUAGGGAAUAGUAAGUUUCCUGAUAGAAGAGAUACGGGGAAUGUGAGAACACAGGCGUCAACAAUGAUUCCAAGGUGUCAGCCCUGACAACUGGAAGAACAGGAUUUGUCAUCAACUGAUUUGGGGGAAAACUGAUAACAAAGCUAAAGGAAGAUCAGGAGUUACAUUUUACAUACAUUAAAUGUAUAAAUAAAAUGUUAUUAAGCUUCACCAGGCUUCCAUUUCAAAUGAAAUCAUAUUAAUACGAAAACCCAAAGAUCCUGUUCUUACCUCAAGAUACCUAAGUAGGACCUCUGACCAACUCCCAGAAGAUAUACACAAACCACCCUCUAAACUCAUCCCUAGACACACACACACACACACACACACACACACACACACGGUUCGUGCCCAGACUUGACAAAACAAUUCACAGAAACAGCUCCUUCACUUUCUGCUCCAACACCUCUCCAACUGCUUCAAUCCAAAGGAAAAGGCAAGCAACCAAUCCAAAAAUUUCAUCCAACACUGUUAGUCAAAACAAAAUCUCCUGAGCACAUCAACCCAUGCAAAUAAAUGCCCAUCUGGUUGGGUCACAACCCACCAUGAUCUCAGCCAAACCUGUACAAAAGAAUUACAGAUGGGGGUCCUCAGGAAAUGCAUUUCUCAUAACCAUCCCACAAAAUUCAGAUUCGUUAGGUUUGAGAUUAGAACCCUACCUCCCACCAUUUCAACAAGAGUCUUAGGGUUUAUAGCAGGUCUGAGAAACAAGGUCCUUAGAACCAUGUAAAGAAGUCACUUGCAAAGGUAACUGUUUUUGUGGCUGGUGGGGGUAAAGCUCUAAAAAUAUCUUACCCUUAUGGCUCUAACACCAAUAGUAGUCACCAUGUAUCAGCACCACCAGUGUCAAACCAAUCCUAGAUCCAGACAUACAAUUACUAAAACACGUAAGCCACAUCCCUGGCUGCAGGCAGAGAAGAGAAACAAACCAGGACCAAGUUUGCCCACAAGCUUGCUUUCUUUCUUUCUUUUAAAAAAAUUUUUUUAAUGUUUAUUUAUUUUUGAGAGAGAGAGAGGGAGACAGAGCAUGAGCGGGGGAGGAGCAGAGAGAGAGGGAGACACAGAAUCCGAAGCAGACUCCAGGCUUCGAGCUGUCAGCACAGAGACCGACGUGGGGCUCAAACUCAUGGACCGUGAGAUCAUGACCCAAGCCGAAGUUGGACGCUUAAACGACUGAGCCACCCAGGCACCCCUCCCACAAGCUUUCUUGAUUCAGAAAUCCUACUAUUCUUUAUGGGAACAUCUAUGAGGAAGAGGGGAUACAACCACAUGGGCACCAAAAUAACUUUCCUAGAGAAACAUUUAAAUCACUACUUUUCCAAAUCGUGGCUCUCAAUUUCCAAAGAUAUCAAAAAUUCUCACAGUGGAUUUCAAAGCCAGUCAGGAGCUGAACUCAUGUUCCCUGACACUUCUCACAGAUUAUCUUGCAUAGUCUCUCUUUGUGCCCACACAAGUCUCUACGUUUUUAUCUCCCACAUCCAGACUUUUGUUUCCCAGUUUUUAAUCACUCUUUAAACUUCACCUGCUCCUCUAAGUCCUCUAAUUAAGCAGAGCCUGAUCUAGAUGUAUACUCACCCCCACAGAGCCUGCAAGAUUUCCUCUAUUACUACCAGAUGUGUUUGAGUAUACUUGUACAGGCCUGUAGGCACAGGAAUAGACACAGAGCUGGUCAAUCAUUAUGGUGCUUUCCUUUAAAUUAUAAAAUCGUCAAGGGAUACCGAAUCAUUACAUUACCAAAUGUGUCUCUGGAGCACCAAGCACUAACCUGAGUACACAACGCUUUAGGAAGAUGGUCUCCACAUACCUCAUGUGCACCCCAGAGUUCAAGUCACCUACUCAGAAGAAAAGGGAGCAAAUAUGGCUCUGGAUACCUUUUCAGCUGUUGUCAUCAUUCAUUUAAUGUACACUCAGCUCCAAAGAGUGGAAAUGGAAAUGGUCAGUGAGUUAAGUAGGUACUCACUUAAGUGGGCAGAAAGAGGUGAAUAAGGGGGAAAAAAAACAAAAGACUAGCUUUGAAAUAUUUCCACAGUACCCCCUUUUCCUGGGAACACAGAAACCAGAAUAACUAGAUCUCAAGUUAUACAGCCCACCAGAUAGGAUGCAAGGCAGAUCCUGACACAUCAUGAAAACAAAAGUGAACAAAACAAAACUUGCCUUGAAAGCACCAGCCAUAUUCUGAGAUCAUAGUUAAAUGGGCAAAGCGUAAGGCACUUCUCAGGACUCCAGGUGCUAAGCUCAGAGAAAAGUGCAAUGGUGACACUAGCUUCUUUUCUUACUGUUAUUUUCAGCAGUAACAAAGUAACACAUAUAUACAGAAAUCAAAAGGGGAAAUCCAGUUCAAAUCAGACAACAGAUCAAACCAUUGUCAGAUUUUCAGAGUAUACUCCUCUGUAAAUUGGAUGAACAUUACAGAGACUAGUACACCAGAGAAUUCAAAAGCAAAACCUGUUCACAAAAUGUACUUUAACAACUAGCUUCCAAAAGUGAAUUUCAAUUUUAGUCUUGCCCAUACAGAACUGUCUGAUAAAUAAUUCUUUCUUCUAAAAUACUGUCACAACCAAGUCAGGAAUAUCACAGUAAAAGCAGGAAGAAAAGUCACUGAAACCACCUCCCUCCUAAGAUGGGGCCACAAAUGUCUCCAGCUAGCUGCCCAAGACAAACACAAACAAACAAACAAACAAAAAACAUUGAAGAGCUGGAAACUAGGUGAUUAUUAUGAAAAACCUACUAACUCUGUAAUUACCCCCUCUUUCAAACAAUAAAAAUAUUAGAAUGUAAACGUGAUGUACGAAAAUGGGAAAUUAGCUGGUCCUAACAACAAUCAAUUCUUCAAAACGAACUGUGUAUCUUAACCUUCCAACUAGUACACAUACUUCUCGGAUUCAGAGUUCUAGAUAACGACAAUAAACUAGAUAAUCUAACACUAAAAAUUUCAAUUACUGUUAUUCUAUUAGGUUUGGAAGUGGAAAAACAAGGUGUGAAAAGACAUGGAUAGGCUUCCUGGGGUCGUGCACCAUCUUCUUUGGUGGGAAAGCACCCUAUCUCCCUGCAGCCUUCCUGGGUUGUAGCCUUCCAGAUAACUCUCCUCUCCAGAAUAAUCAGACUGGUGGAGUUACAAAUCAUCUCUCAGGCUGCAACUGUCCUUUAUAAAAGGAAAUCUUCAAUGUCUUUGACCUUGAGUCAAGCAGCACACCCAUCAGAUAUAAGGCACUGGUAACAUGUGAAGAAAUAAACUAUUUUGGCUUCUUCUUUGUGAUUAGUAUGGAACAUACACACACAAAGAGAGAGACACGUGGGACGCCUGGGUGGCUCAGUAGCUUAGGCAUCCGACUUGGGCUCAGGUUAUGAUCUCGUGCUUUGCGGGUUUGAGCCCCACGUCGGGCUCUGUGCUGACAGCUCAGAGCCUGGAGUCCACUUCGGAUUCUGUGUCUCCCUCUCUCUCUGCCCCUCCCCAACUCACUCUCUUCUCUCUCUAAAUAAACAUUAAAAAAAAAAAGAAAGAAAGAAAAUUUUAAAAAAAGACAAAUGAACACAGACCCUCCAGAAGUAAAGAGAACAGGCAAAAAUGAUAAACCAAAGGAAUAAAGGUGGCUAUAUCCUAAAGUACAUUCAAGCAGACUCUGAAAUUUAUCCAAAUGUGUGGCUCACUGCCUAAACCAACAUAUACAUCUGGUAAUAAUAAACACUGAUAAGUCAUAAACAAAAAGGGCUUUCUUAAUUCACACACUCUACAAACUACUGGUAACAUUAAAAUUUACAUAAAGCACUAUCAAACAAUAUGUGUAAAAUAGAUUUUUUAAGAUAGCAUUAGUAUUUCAAUUUACAUUACUAAUAAGUGAAAAACUGGUAUUUUACUGUUUGGUCUUCAAAAACAGAGAAUCCAGUAUCUUUGAUUUGACCAAGUUACAAAUCUGUUUUCAGUAGACAGAGAAAACAUAUUGCCUCUGUUUAACGCAAAGGACAAAAAAGAUCAUCACUGCAAAUCAUAAUGUUUGGGUUCAUGAUGAAAACAGGAAACAGACAGGCUGCCCAGGUAUAAUUAUGGUUAUAGUGUAAUGUGCCUUCAGGUUCAGCCAAGAAUUAAAACUCAGUGAAGAGUAAGCAGAAUUUACUUGCCUCUACCUUGCUACAGAAGGCAACUUUUAAUAAUACUUCCAGCAACAUGUUACAUAACUAACAGUAAACAACAUCUGAUUCAAACCUCAUUAGUAACAACAUUCUGCCACUGUCUCCCACUGAAAUUAAUAGCUGACUUUGCCAGAGGGGAAAGAAAUGCAGCACAUAUCAAUCUACCCAUUUCUGUGGCGCCUACCGAGGUGAACCAGACUAGUAGAUAAUACCAGCAAAUCUGCACGUAUUCUACAAAAAAUAUUUUAUUCUUUUUUCAGUCCACUGCUGACUUUCCUUUUUACCACACUGUAUCAUAUGGAUGCAUUUAAAAUCUAAGAGGAAAGUCAGUAGAGAAUGUUCACCUAACUUUUGUUGCCGAUCUCAGCUAUUUCAAACGUGAAAGGAAUGGAAGGAUAAAUAAUGAAUGAAAUUUUGUAACAAAGAUACAGGGUAACAUUCAUGCGGUAAAAACACCCAUGUGAAAACGAAAGGCACACUGACCAAGGGAUCUGCAAUAGAGAGGGAAUAUAGAUCUACAAACAAACAAAACAAAAAUUAAAAUUUAAAACUCUAAAACGUAUUAUGCACCACUUUUGUGAAGGUUAUAUUUCGGUAAAUUGUCUCUUAUGACGUGUGCAUUCUUGUCAUCUUGGGGUUCCCCACAGAGGGAAAAAAUAGUUACCAAAGAAGGAGUAAAAGAAAAAAAAAGAAAGUUGUACAAAUCUGUAAAAUAAUCCCUUACUUACUGACUCUGGAACACACUAAUUUCACAACAGUAUCCUGAUCAAUACCAAACUGUCACACUGUGUCUAAGAACUGUUUUGCCUACAACGGCCACUUCCACAUUGACACCUUGCAGAAAUCUUAGAACUCCUUUCAAUUAAAAUUGAAAACUAACUCGCUCCGGGCAAUUCGAGUCCUCUUAAGGAAAUUCAAGCGCUCUAUUUAAAAAGAACUUAAAUAAUUUUUAAAACAACAACCCAAGCAUCCUUUACUCUCAACUUCUGUGAGGCCAAGCCACGACCUCCACCUACCCAGCCUGUUGCUAGAUAAGAGCACUUUAGGCAGUGCUAGGCAACAGGCAUGAUGUGACAAACCCAACCAGACUUCAAAACUUUUUCCACAGAAAGAUAAGGUAAACAAGAUAUACUUAGCACCACACCCAUUUAAACGCACAAGCAGCCAGGAAUGUUCCCCCCUCCCCGCCACCCCACCACCCCAACAACUCUAGACCUCCAGCUGGUCAGGAAACAAUGUCUCUGCAAUCAAGAUAGCGAUCUGGCCCAGGGUGUUCAGGCAUUCCUCACCUCCAGGCUGGCCUACAGCUCCAUUCUCCAAUGCCAUCAAAACCAGAAUUGGAACAUUUUGUUAGGAAUCGGGCAAACGUCCAAAUACCCGGACUAUCCUCGCCCCAGUUCUUUUUUGCAACCAAAAUCUGUUUUGGCUACUGAGCAUGCUCCGACUUAAGACAGGCGCCACAUGGGAGUUUUCAAAGCUUAGGCUCCAAACUCCACGUAAUAACAGCAGCUGAAAGGGGAAGAGAGGAAAACGGGCGGGGGAGGGGGAGAGCCCGGAAUAUGAAUUUGAGUACUGAUAUUAAAGUGAAAGACCGGGCAGAGGCUGAAUGUGCAAACAGGCACGGCUUGGCGUUCUCCUUGCAGCAAUGCAGAAGUUAACACGAAGGGGAAGGAAUCUUUGCAAUGGUGAAAACUGGCACGGCAACGGGCAGAAACCAGGUCUAACUACCAGCUGAGUGCAGUAGCAGGUCACAAGUGCCCAGAGUGUAAUUCCCACCGAUAAGCGUGGGUCCUUAUCUUUGAAACACAAAGCGACGGCGGCACGGAUUCAUCAAGCCAUUGGACAGCUUUGCAGUGUAGCAAGCAGACCGGACGGCUCGACCGAGCACGGCGAUCCUACCAGGGGUGUGACUGAGGGUGGUGCUUAGAUGAGGUAGAACAAACCGCUCCUCUGGACACAAGCAGCGCCGGGAUUCCCACCCCCCCCCCCCCCCCCCCCCCCCCCCCCCCGCNNNNNNNNNNNNNNNNNNNNNNNNNNNNNNNNNNNNNNNNNNNNNNNNNNNNNNNNNNNNNNNNNNNNNNNNNNNNNNNNNNNNNNNNNNNNNNNNNNNNNNNNNNNNNNNNNNNNNNNNNNNNNNNNNNNNNNNNNNNNNNNNNNNNNNNNNNNNNNNNNNNNNNNNNNNNNNNNNNNNNNNNNNNNNNNNNNNNNNNNNNNNNNNNNNNNNNNNNNNNNNNNNNNNNNNNNAGCCCCCGGCCCGGCUCGCCCGCUCGCCCGCCCUGGGCCCCACACUCACUCACCCGCCGGCUGGCCGCACUCCCCCGGCGCCGUCGCUGCGCUUUCCCUCAGUGCAACUUUAUUAGCAGCUCGGCCGCGAGACACGCGCACGGCGCCCGCUCGCCCAGGACCCGGAUGAGGGAGGGAAGGAGCCGGGGAGGACACCGCUGGGGUCUGCGCAUGCGCGUCAGGGGUCGAGUGACCGCUGCGGUGCCCGAGGGAAGGAAGCCUCCGCGCCUGGCUCCGCGCGGCCAAGUCCAGCUUCCGAUCCGCCGGAGGCUCUCGCGGCAAUGGCCAGCCCCCGAGUGGGAGUCGGUCAGCUCCCACCGCCACGACGGCCACUAGUAGUCUCCACUCACCAAAGCAGCUCAGAAGAUAACAAAAUAAAACUAUUGCCCUCGAUAGGGACAAUUGCGGAUUUUCUCAACUGCAAAAACUGUUAAAAAAAAAAAAAAAAAAAGAUCUUCCGACACAAGUUUGCUGCUUUCAUUGAUUUUUAAAGUAACUAUAUAAAUCUAGGUGAAGAGAGUCCUCUUCACUUAGAUCUUUCUAUGAAAACUAGCUUCAAAACAAACUUGAGAACAGUUUCUUACUCAAGGCAGCCCUGAAUCACCUCCCAUUUGGAAAUCUUGGAGCCUCUACUUUCCCAACCCCUUUCGAGUGCCUGAACUUGGAGUUCCCCGAAGUAGGACCGUCCAUGUUGGGAGAUCAACCCCAGUAGUUCGGGAUACACAUGCCCUUCUGGACAGGUGAGGCCAGUGAGGUGCACAGAAGUCACCAGUAGGCUGGCAUCUCUCCAAUCCGCCUCCUGGGACAAGAAUCUAAGUCUCUUUCUUAGUCAUUGGGGCUCUUCUCAUUGUUCUUUCCCUCAAAAUUCCCCAAAGUGGCAGCGUUUACCAGACUAUGAUGAUGGCACUACCUAGGGUGCCAGGUGGAAGAGUACUAGUGAAGAAAGACUUUUAAAUGUUCUUAUUUUAAGAGGUCAAUACUGGUUUUCCAAUACUCCACCAUAGGUUUGCUUUUUUUUUUUUUUAAUUUUUUUUUUUCAACGUUUAUUUAUUUUUGGGACAGAGAGAGACAGAGCAUGAACGGGGGAGGGGCAGAGAGAGAGGGAGACACAGAAUCGGAAACAGGCUCCAGGCUCCGAGCCAUCAGCCCAGAGCCCGAGGCGGGGCUCGAACUCACGGACCGUGAGAUCGUGACCUGGCUGAAGUCGGACGCUUAACCGACUGCGCCACCCAGGCGCCCCUAGGUUUGCUUUUUAAAGAAAUUAAGUAAAAAUCAAAAUUGGAGUCAUUUCCAAAUCCUCUCCCUCAUAGCCUAAUCCAAUCCAUCACGAAAUCUUAUUGACUACCUUCAAAAUAUAUGCCAAAUCUGACCAUUUCUCACUGCCUCUAUUAUCACCUCUGUGGCCUGAGCCAGCAUCAUCUCAUACAAAUGAGCAGCUGCUAUUUUGCUCAGGGCCCCAGCAGUUUGUUUCCACGGUGAGAAGACAAAGUAAAUGUUGCCGAAGUCUCUGCAUAAGGGGUGGCCAAUCUCGAAUGGGACAGAGGCCUGGUGAGGAAGUGUAGUGGGCCAGGGUGGGGACCCAGAGAGUGCCUGUUCUGAUCAAAGGGACAGCUGCUGUUCCACUCCAGCCGACCACCACUGUAGGGAAACAGAAUAAGGGCCAGUGUUGGCAGAUCGUCGGAUUUUUCAAAAACAGUUGGAAAUCUGGAUUUUAAUGCAAAAAAAAAAAUCUCUGUUAUCUAAAAGCUUAGCCACUUCUCUCAUUCUUUCUCACUUCUUCUCCCUUUCUUAGACACGCUGGAGGCCAAUUCUCUCCAAGCCAAGCAAAACAAAUCCAUGGUCCUGAUUUAGUCCUAUUGACCAUUGGUUUGCAGUCUCGGGUCUACAUCUUAAACCUCUUUACUACACCAUAAAUUUUGUGAAAGUAACGUCUGUGUACUUUAACUCUUUGUCACACUCACUGAUUAUUUGUUGGCAAUUCAGAACUUUCCAGCCCUUGGAAGGCACAUAUUUCUGGAGCCUGCAUAGCUUUACAACUCCCAGAAGUGCCCAUAACCCUGCCUUGGAGGGUGCCUUUUUUUUUCCCUCAGAACUGAUGUUUGCAGAGUGUUUUGUUGAACAUUGUAAGACAUAACAAUUUGGUUUAAACAUUUUGUACACUAGAGCCAUUCCUCACUUCAAACAGCUAGUAAAAUCCUCCCCCAAAUUGUUGGCCAUCUUACAGUCACUGCACAUUAUAUAAGGAACAAUUUGUGAUUGCAGGAUUCCUUUUAAUGCUCACAUUUGUAAUCUUAAAGCCAACAGUUGUGUUUCCUGAACGAUGUACACACCUACUGAUCAUAGCAACCAGACUCCAACCUCUCCAAGUUGCUAUGUGAGCUCAGCUUAGGUCUGAAGUGGGAAGAAAUGAUACCAUAGAAGAAGGAAUGGAUGGGGUGCCUGGGUGGCUUAGUCGGUUAAGUGUCCGACUUCAGCUCAGGUCACGAUCUCGCGGUCUGCGAGUUCGAGCCCCGCGUCAGGCUCUGGGCUGAUGGCUCAGAGCCUGGAGCCUGCUUCCGAUUCUGUGCCUCCCUCUCUCUCUGCCCCUCCCCCGUUCAUGCUCUGUCUCUCUCUGUCUCAAAAAUAAAUAAACGUUAAAAAAAAAUUAAAAAAAAAAAAAAACGAAGAAGGAAUGGAAACUUGAACAGCACAAAAAUGCCUCCCAAAGGACUGAGAAAUUACCUAGGCUCAAAGGGUAUAGAAAAUCAGACAGAUUGCUAAAUAUCUAGAUAGUUGAAAAGAUUAUCAAAUGGGAAAUGAACAGGCACACCAGAGCCAUAGGAAUGGAAUAAGGAAGUUCCUGUUUUUAACUAUCAAAUGGAUUCUAAAAACAAAUGUAGAAUGGGAUGAUCUGAACAAAUAGACGUAGUCUCAAUGGGGCAUCACAAUAGAUAAACUGAUUUAGCAUUCCCCCAUGAGAGCAGAUAAAAGCAGCUUCAAACUUCAAUCUUACUAUACUUGCAGAGAAAGCUAUUUGUGGAUAAUUUAGGCCAGUGCUUCUCAACCAGAGGCGACUGUCCCAUCCCAGGGGAAUAUUUGACAAUAUUUGAAAACAACCAUGACUGUCACAUACAGGAGGGUGGUGCUAAUGGCAUCUACAGGGUAGAGGCCAGGGAAGCUGCUAAUUUCUCUGCGAUAUACAGGACAGCCUCCUUCUACCAAGAGUUAUCCCGUCCAAAAUGUCGCUACAUACAAAAAGGUUUUGUGUGUUAUUUUUUUUUUUAAUGUUUUAAAGUUUAUUUAUUUAUUUACUUUGAGAGAGAAAGAGAGAGCACACGAGUUAGGUAGGGUCAGAGAGAGAGACAGAGGGAGAGAGAAUUCCAAGCAGUCUCCACUCUAUCAGCACAGAGCCUGACAGGGGCUUCAAGUCACAAACCGUGAGACGAUGACCUAAGCCAAGAGUCUGAUGCAUAACCGACUAAGCUACCCAGGCGUGGCUGUAUGUAUUGUUUUAAGCCCCAGAUAGGUUUUCUUUAAUUGGGGUUGAUGGGGAGAAAAUGGGCCCUUUGCUUGAAUUUUUCUAAUAAAUAAAUAAAAAUAAUUGCUUUAAUUAUUCAUUAGGUGAAAAGAAUUAGCCAGAAUGUUUGGUUCAUGACCUACUCCCACCUUGAAUUUUCCAGAACCAAAAAGGAAGUAAUUUUCAGGAAAUAGGGGACCACAUAUGGAACAUGAAGAACUGGAAUCAUUAAUUCAGUGUUUCCCUAUUUUUAAUUUUUAACUGAAGGGUAAUUGAGGCAAACUGAUUUUGGUGCCAGUAUCCUUAAUAAAUAUGUCAUUUCCAUGCUUUGCUACAGCUCAGAAGAUUCUCCCUAAAUGCCCAACGCACACCCACUAGAAUUGGAAGAACGUGAUGGUGUUUCGAGGAGUCACCCGGCAUAAAAGGAUCAGUGAGUGACCACAGAGAUGCAAAGGGUCCCACCUCAUAGCCACCUCCGGGACACUCACUUCCUCCGACAGUCAUGGCAAGUGGACCUCAGAGGAAGAAAUGCCUGAGUUUGAGUGACUCCUCUGGACAGUGUCCUGGAAAUGAUAAAGCUUCCUCUCCAAGUUCUG
This 20046-nucleotide long non-coding RNA is filed under the name Lynx pardinus (Iberian lynx). The stretch from base 18392 to 18476 matches the Rfam family "tRNA". Lineage: Eukaryota; Metazoa; Chordata; Mammalia; Carnivora; Felidae. The record is from RNAcentral.